UACGUAGGGUGCAAGCGUUGUCCGGAAUUAUUGGGCGUAAAGAGCUUGUAGGCGGUUUGUCGCGUCUGCUGUGAAAUUUCGGGGCUCAACCCCGAACUUGCAGUGGGUACGGGCAGGCUAGAGUGUGGUAGGGGAGACUGGAAUUCCUGGUGUAGCGGUGAAAUGCGCAGAUAUCAGGAGGAACACCGGUGGCGAAGGCGGUUCUCUGGGCCUGGACUGACGCUGAGGAACGAAAGCGUGGGGAGCGAACAGG
This 253-nucleotide ribosomal RNA is filed under the name uncultured bacterium. RNAcentral describes it as "partial 16S ribosomal RNA". It matches the Rfam family "Bacterial small subunit ribosomal RNA", at positions 524 to 776 of the family's 1533-position model. The record is from RNAcentral.